UGAUCAUGCCGCAACGUAAGGUGUUAAGUCAAACUUUGACGUAAAGGUUUGGUACACCGGUUGGGUGGUAGGUUCGGUACGGAGCAUAAAAUCCGAUAGAUCAUGAUGUACAUCCGUCACGAAGUCAUUGCCAGUUACUUUCCGGCUGGAAGUAGAAAUGAACAACAAUUCUUCCCCACCGGGGCAAUAAUGUCGGGCAGCCUUUCUUGGCAACAGGGGUGCGUACUUGCACUACUUGACCACCACGACCAUCACCGCACGCCCUGGAACACCCACCCCGCCGACCAGCGCAGCUGCGCAGCACGCCGGCCCCGCCUGGUAGACCCGAGGGCCCGCAGGCCCUCUUGCCCGCCGGCGUGCGGACAGAGCAUGUCGGCGGGGGCGGUUCCAGGGACGGUGCCGGAGGAGGAGGAGGAGGAGGACGCGGAGGCCGAGGUGGGGGAGGGGCGACCCGGCCGGCCCGCAGUCACCCGUUUCAAGGACGGGGACCGCUAUGACAUGUGCACCAUCUGCCUGGACCACUUCCGCGCUGGCGAGCCCGUGAGCGUCCUGCCCUGUGCGCACGCUUUCCACAACGACUGCAUCGGCGCGUGGCUCAGCGGCUACCGGCGCGCCUGCCCGCUGUGCCAGCUGUGGGUGCGCCCCGCGCGCAGCCCCCUGCAGCUGUGGCGCCGGGCGCAGCGGCGGCGGCGGCGCAGGGCGGCCCGCAGGGAGGCGGAGAGGGCGGCGCGCCGGGAGGACCGCAGGCGACGGCGGGGGCGCGAGCAGGAGGACGAGGAUGUCGGCCCCGGGGAGCGCGACCAACGCCGUCGGCGUGGCCACGAGCACUACCGCCGCGAGCUGGAGCACGAGGUGCAUCACCACCACCGCGGCCGACGCGAUCGCCUCCAGCACAACCACCACCACCACCGCCACCAGCAGCACGAUCAGCCGUGGGUCCGCCUCAUGACCAUAGUGAAUCGCUCUUCCUCGUCGGAACGCGAACUUUGACUUCAAUCCACAAAAUACACGCAUUUUCGCUCAAAACGUCUGCACAAGGGACUGUGACUUUGAGCUGCG
Frankliniella occidentalis (western flower thrips) is the source of this 1059-nucleotide long non-coding RNA. RefSeq lists it as uncharacterized. Lineage: Eukaryota; Metazoa; Arthropoda; Insecta; Thysanoptera; Thripidae. The record is from RefSeq and is a predicted model, not a curated record. The transcript has 3 exons.